This 857-nucleotide ribosomal RNA is filed under the name Anelosimus domingo. RNAcentral's name for it is "partial 16S ribosomal RNA". Lineage: Eukaryota; Metazoa; Arthropoda; Arachnida; Araneae; Theridiidae. The record is from RNAcentral.
UUUGUUUUUUAAUUAAAAACUAGAAUGAAAGGUUAUACAUUCAAAUUUCUUUAUUAAUUUUUUAUAAAUAAUUUAUAUUAAAUAUAAAAAUAUAUUUUUAAAUAAAAAAGACGACAAGACCCUAUUAAAUUUAACUUAUAGUUUAGCUGGGGAAGCUUUUUAAAUAAAAUUUUUAUAUAAUUUUUAAAAAUAUAUUUAAUAAAAUUAAAAAUAAAACAAAUUACUAUAGGGAUAACAGCGUUAUAUUUUUUAAAAGUUCUUAUUUAAAAAAAUGAUUGCGACCUCGAUGUUGAAUUAUAUUUUCUAUAUUAAUGCAAUAAUUAUAAAAGUAGAUCUGUUCGAUCUUUAAAAUAUUACAUGAUUUGAGUUCAAACCGGUGUAAACCAGGUUGGUUUCUAUCUUUUUAUAUAUAUAUAUUUUUUUAAGUACGAAAGGAAAAAAAAAAAUUUAUUUUAAUUAUUUAGCAAAUUAAUAUGCAUUAGAUUUAGAAUCUAAAUAAAAUAUUAUUUUUUAAUUAAUUCUUUUAUAUCUAUUAUUAUACUUUUAAUUUCAGUUGCAUUUUAUACAAUUUUAGAACGAAAAAUUUUAAGAUACAUUCAAAUUCGAAAAGGUCCAAAUAAAGUAGGUUUUAUAGGAAUUUUACAACCAUUUAGUGAUGCUAUUAAAUUAUUUAAUAAAAAUUUAAUUUCACUUGAAAGAAUAAAUUUUAUAUUAUCAUAUUCAACUCCAGCAUUAUCUUUAAUUUUAAUAAUAAUAAUUACUUCUAUAUUACCUAUAUAUAUUUAUUCUACAUUUGAUAAUAAAAAUAAUAUUUUAAUAUUUUUUGUAAUUUCAAGAUUAGCAGUUUAUUCCAUUUU